ACCUCCCGGCAGCCUCGCCAGGCCCAGAACUCUCUCCAGUCAGCCUCUACAGACCAAGCUCAUGACUCACAAUGGCCUAUUUAGGCCCAUACCCUACCUCACGGCAGUCUCCGCAGAUGAGCCUACUGCCUCACAACAGCCUCCACAGGCACAGCUCCAUCGUUACAAUGGCCUCUUUAGACCCAGCUCCUGCCUCCCAGCCUUCUCUCCAGGCCCUGAACUUUCUCCGUGGGACCAUCCAGUUUCAGGAAAAGAAGCUUAACACGCCCACUGAUUCUACAUUAUGCUCCUACCUCCCGGCAGCCUCGCCAGGCCCAGAACUCUCUCCAGUCAGCCUCUACAGACCAAGCUCAUGACUCACAAUGGCCUAUUUAGGCCCAUACCCUACCUCACGGCAGUCUCCGCAGAUGAGCCUACUGCCUCACAACAGCCUCCACAGGCACAGCUCCAUCGUUACAAUGGCCUCUUUAGACCCAGCUCCUGCCUCCCAGCCUUCUCUCCAGGCCCUGAACUUUCUCCGUAAGUUGAGGUAGCUGGGACUGUAGGUAUACAUGAUGAUACUUGGCUAAUUUUUAAAUUGUUUUGCAGACAUGGGGUCUCACUUUGUUGGCCAGGCUGCUGUCAAACUAAUGGCCUCAAGUGACCCUUCCACCCCUGCCUCCCAUCCUCGAGGUAUG
This is a long non-coding RNA of Gorilla gorilla gorilla (western lowland gorilla), 677 nucleotides long. RefSeq lists it as uncharacterized. The record is from RefSeq and is a predicted model, not a curated record. The transcript has 3 exons. NCBI's taxonomy places the organism in Eukaryota, Metazoa, Chordata, Mammalia, Primates, Hominidae.